UACGAAGGGGGCUAGCGUUGCUCGGAAUCACUGGGCGUAAAGCGCACGUAGGCGGCUUUCUAAGUCAGGGGUGAAAUCCUGGAGCUCAACUCCAGAACUGCCCUUGAUACUGGAGAGCUUGAGUUCGGGAGAGGUGAGUGGAACUGCGAGUGUAGAGGUGAAAUUCGUAGAUAUUAGGAAGAACACCAGUGGCGAAGGCGGCUCACUGGCCCGGUACUGACGCUGAGGCGCGAAAGCGUGGGGAGCAAACAGG
Molecule: ribosomal RNA, 253 nt
Filed under: uncultured bacterium
Lineage: Bacteria
Description: partial 16S ribosomal RNA
Rfam family: Bacterial small subunit ribosomal RNA
Source: RNAcentral